Molecule: non-coding RNA, 1761 nt
Organism: Malus domestica (apple)
Lineage: Eukaryota; Viridiplantae; Streptophyta; Magnoliopsida; Rosales; Rosaceae
Source: RefSeq, a predicted model, not a curated record
CCACCAGUCACUCUACCACUCUGCUCCCUCACUCUCUCUCUCCUCUCUUCCUCUCUCUCUCCUCUCUAAACGCAGACUAUAAAUUUCAGCAAAUAAACAAACGCCGUCACCUAACACUCCGGCAGUUUAUCAAAGUCCCGCUCACCUUCAGCUCCCGAAAGCCGUCACCACCCCUAUACUCGCACAACGACAACACACCCACACGCAGAACGAUGAACCAGAGGCUCUCUUUCCCAUAAAACGACACCGUAAGGUUUCAAAAUCCGUACCGAUCGAUUGGCGCCGGGAAAAGUGAAGGUUCAGAUCAACCACUCCGACGGCCUAGGGUUCCGACGAGGAAGGUUGAAUCGUUGUUCGCUGAUUGAUUGCUCUCUCGCUCUCUCUGCUCAAAUGGCUUCGGAGGAUGUGAAACCGAGCGAAUCGGCGGUCUCGACGAUCGUCAACCUGGCUGAGGAGGCGAAGAUGGCGAGGGAGGGCGUGGUAAAGGCUCCGAACCUCGCGUUGCUCAGCGUCUGCAAGUCUCUCGUUGCUGGAGGAGUCGCCGGUGGAGUGUCACGCACGGCUGUUGCUCCAUUGGAACGACUGAAAAUUUUGCUUCAGGUCCAGAAUCCACAUAACAUAAAAUACAAUGGAACGAUACAAGGCUUGAAGUAUAUCUGGAGAAGUGAGGGUUUCCGUGGACUAUUUAAAGGGAAUGGUACGAAUUGUGCUCGUAUUGUCCCCAACUCAGCUGUCAAGUUCUUCAGCUAUGAGCAAGCUUCCAAGGGAAUAUUGUGGCUGUAUCGGGAUCAAACUGGCAAUGAAGAUGCUCAGCUCACUCCAAUCCUACGUCUUGGAGCUGGAGCAUGUGCUGGAAUUAUUGCUAUGUCUGCAACUUACCCAAUGGACAUGGUACGAGGACGGAUAACUGUACAGACAGAGAAUUCUCCCUUUCAGUACAGGGGAAUGUUCCAUGCCCUAUCGACUGUGCUCCGGGAGGAGGGCCCACGGGCUUUGUACAAGGGCUGGCUUCCUUCUGUUAUUGGAGUAGUUCCAUAUGUUGGUCUCAACUUUGCUGUGUAUGAAUCCCUAAAAGAUUGGUUAAUCAAAAGUAGGCCAUUUGGACUUGUUCAAGAUACAGAUUUGAGCGUGACAACAAGGUUGGCAUGCGGGGCUGCUGCUGGAACUGUUGGGCAAACUGUUGCUUACCCUCUUGAUGUUAUCGUCGAAGGAUGCAGAUGGGGGGAUGGAGCCAUGCUGCUUCUGUUGUCAGUGGUGAUGGGAUAAGCAAGGCCCCACUUGAGUAUACUGGCAUGAUUGACGCAUUUAGGAAAACUGUUCGUCAUGAGGGCUUUGGUGCAUUGUACAAGGGUUUGGUUCCCAACUCUGUUAAGGUAGUCCCAUCCAUUGCGCUUGCAUUUGUGACGUACGAGAUGGUGAAGGACGUUUUAGGAGUCGAGAUCAGGAUAUCGGACUGAUAUUGCGGGAGGUCCAUGAUAUUUGUCUGUGCUCGUGCUAUUUUUGUAGGUCGGGAAAUAGAGGUCUGGCAAACUAGGGGUAAUUUGAUUCCUUUUUCAUUCUGAAGUUAGAAGCGAGUCUGAGCUUGUGUUCAUAAAUUGCUUCCCCUUGUUUUUCAUUUUUUCUGUUUCCUUAUGAACACAAUGUAGCUUUGAGCUUCCCAUUCAUAUGAAGUGCCAAUAAGUGUUUUGACAAUGUAAAACAUGCAUCUGCAUGCCUUCCAUAAGCACUGAUAAAGCAUUAUCUACAUGCCGUUAUAUGUUA